RNAcentral lists this ribosomal RNA (253 nucleotides) under uncultured bacterium. Its description in RNAcentral is "partial 16S ribosomal RNA". It matches the Rfam family "Bacterial small subunit ribosomal RNA", at positions 524 to 776 of the family's 1533-position model. The record is from RNAcentral.
GACGUAGGGUGCGAGCGUUGUCCGGAUUUAUUGGGCGUAAAGAGCUCGUAGGCGGCUUGUCGCGUCGACCGUGAAAACUUGGGGCUCAACCCCAAGCCUGCGGUCGAUACGGGCAGGCUAGAGUUCGGUAGGGGAGACUGGAAUUCCUGGUGUAGCGGUGAAAUGCGUAGAUAUCAGGGGGAACACCCGUGGCGAAGGCGGCCAGCUGGGCCGACUCUGACGCUGAGGCGCGAAGGCGUGGGGAGCGAACGGG